Molecule: small nucleolar RNA, 80 nt
Organism: Cercocebus atys (sooty mangabey)
Lineage: Eukaryota; Metazoa; Chordata; Mammalia; Primates; Cercopithecidae
Source: Ensembl
CAGUCCAGCCUCUGAUGAAGCCUAUGUUAUAGUAGGAACAUCUGAGUGGUAAUGAAUGCCAGCAGCUCUGAUGAAAAAAA